This 2774-nucleotide long non-coding RNA is filed under the name Triticum aestivum (bread wheat). RNAcentral describes it as "long non-coding RNA (TAES_LNC019663)". Lineage: Eukaryota; Viridiplantae; Streptophyta; Magnoliopsida; Poales; Poaceae. The record is from RNAcentral.
AACGAUUGAGAUUUAUCAAAGUAUGCACUAGAAUUCACGUGCAAGAAUAGAUCACGUAUAAGGAUACGGCAAGAUGGAUUCCUCUCGGGUAAACAAAUAGGAGUAAUUGAUUUUCAGGAAGAAGUGGACACGGACACGGAUCCAAAAGAUUUUAGGCAACCACAAGCGGACGCAUACUGACGAAAAACAUGUUUGAACGCCCCAUGACCGAAAUAAUAACAGUGCAAUCCACGGCAAGAUGGAUUCCUCUCGGGUAAACAAAUAGGAGUAAUUGAUUUUCAGGAAGAAGUGGACACGGACACGGAUCCAAAAGAUUUUAGGCAACCACAAGCGGACGCAUACUGACGAAAAACAUGUUUGAACGCCCCAUGACCGAAAUAAUAACAGUGCAAUCCAUGGCACCACCACACGUCCAGCAGAUUACAGGCAGCGCACCUGACACAUCCAUACGCGCCGACGGCGACGGCCCUCGGUUGCCGAGAAAACCGAAGAGACAACAACCAGCUCAACGGAUGAAAGGCAAGUCAACAACAGUGUCCCAUCCAGCCAUCACCUCUGGGUAAUACUUGCACGUACUUCUCCCUGUUAGUUUAGAUGUUUCAGUCCCAAGCAACAUAAGCAACAAGUGGUAAGAUGGCUUGCAUCGAACCAUCGUGAUGGUACCAGAUAAAAAAUACCAUUGCAUAUGGCUAAUAAAAAACAUCAUUUUUGCAAUACAAUGGGUGGAGAAAGAGGUCACUUGGUUCGGUCCAAAUUAAGUUGUACAUGACUAUAUACUAAUUAGUUCCUGGUACAAAAAAAUCUCAGAGAAAUAAGAUUGGCAGGAACAUAGACAGUAAUGAACAAGGCGGAAUAGAAGAGCGAAGGUGGGAGAUCGCAUAAAAAUUCACAGAAAGAAUAAUACCCUAUUAAAAUACAUUGUUUAAAAGGUCCUUAGCAAUAUCUUAAUACAGUUAGUGUAAAGAUUUCUAUCAACGUGAAAUCAUGUUUCCAUGUUUUGAUUUUUGAAUAAUAGUUGGAGAGAAAAUAUUAAUAUAUUAUUAUGUAUUGCUCACAACAAUAAUCAUGUUAUAUACGUACUAGGUAAUUGCCAUAGUCAUUCACGACUUCUCAUCCCACAAGAAACAAAACAAAUCACGUACGUACAUGCAUACAUGUAGGAAGGAAACUAAAACAACCAUAAUUUGGCAUAAAAGAAUUCUUUCGAACUUGGAAUUCCAAAAUUUGCUAAAAUUUGGAAUGAUUUUUUUGGGAGAAAACAGUAGUUAGACUUAUGUAUGAAAUGCAACAAAACAGUAGCAUGUACAAUUAAAAUAAAUUUUGCAUUUUUUUACAUGGACAUAAAAAUGCAAAUCGUCGCAAUCGAAAAGGAAAACUCAAUAGCUACCAUUUUAAGUUUCUUAGUAAGAGAUGCUUGCCCUACCAACGAAUGAGCAGCUGAUAUGAUCUCACCACAAAUUCGAAAAAAACAGAAUGUUUUCUCACAAGCCAUGAAAUUUAAAAGUCGCUAAACUUUGGAACAUUGUUUCUAUGAGAAAAUGGUAGCUAGACUUAUAUACGAAAUUCAACCAGACACUAGAAUGUAUAAUUAAACAAAAUAUAAGUUUUCUUUACAAUUGAGAUCAUGCAAUUUUAUUAAGGAAUGACUAAUGUCAACGUGACAUGCGUGUAUUCAAGUGCAAUGACUCAGCAUUUGGAAAAGAGGCUACAUGAGUACAUAGCACGAGUAAGUCAGCUAUGACGGUAGGAAGUGAUAGACAUGAGAUUCAUCCAGAAAAAAGACUAUAUGGCCACAUAGAUAUUGAGCAUCACAGUAAAAAAAAUUACCUUUCAUACCAUUUUAAUUUUACAAAACGACCACUUUCAUCAAUGUAGUAGGUAAAAUCGGCAUUACGAGGCAAUGCUUGCCUUAAUAGCAAAUGAGAAAAAAAGUUUGCUUCGUAAAAUUGGAGGAAGCAAGAUAAAAAAGAAAAUUUGGGUGUUAUUUUUAUGAUAAACAACAGGGAAGGCCCUUACAAAAAAAGUGCUUCAAUGCGUCUCCUCUUUUCCUCUCUGCAUCCAUUCUCUCUCUCACACUAAGUUAGUCUUUAUUGUCAUUUCCAGCUUCAAAUACAUAUUCUAAUCGAUUCACGUUGGUUUGAUUUCCCAAACGUACAUUAAGCCAGGGCACUCUAAUAAUGUUUUUAUACUAUAAUUAGUUUGAAAGAACAAACUAUAUCAACUUUAUAACCAUUAAUUUUACAUGUGUACACUAACAAUGUCCGGAUUAUAAAGAACAAGUUGUAAAGAUUUUUGCAUGAUGUAUUUCCAAACGGAGGUAGUACGAUUUUAAAUCUACACCGAAUGGCCUAUGAAUAUCUUGAACCUAAUAUAAUAAAUGUGUCAAGAAAUAACUCUAGCCGCGCAAAUGCGUGGGACACCCUGCUAGUUUUCUACAAAAUGAAAAUGUAACAAAACUUUAGUUUUAGGCACAACAACACACACCGUGAUUCUCCUUCUUGCAGUAGCCUUUCUGGCCGUCAUAACCAAGUGUUUUGCACUCCCUGUUGCAGUAAUCAACAGCAUACUGAUAUGAGUCCAUGCACACCGAGUAAGUAAAACAUUGGAGUCCAAAUGCAGCGUUGGUACCUAAACACAGUGAAGGAAGCACCACAACAUACAAAUGAAUACGUAUGGAAUACAUGAUACAUAAUCAUUUGGGACUUUUUAAUGUCAAGAAACUCAACAAGGAAACUCAUUUGGAAAUUACCUACGUCCCUCCCCGCUGACGCAGG